This 484-nucleotide ribosomal RNA is filed under the name uncultured bacterium. RNAcentral's name for it is "partial 16S ribosomal RNA". It matches the Rfam family "Bacterial small subunit ribosomal RNA", at positions 30 to 507 of the family's 1533-position model. The record is from RNAcentral.
AUUGAACGCUGGCGGCAGGCCUAACACAUGCAAGUCGAGCGGAUGAAGGGAGCUUGCUCCUGGAUUCAGCGGCGGACGGGUGAGUAAUGCCUAGGAAUCUGCCUGGUAGUGGGGGAUAACGUCCGGAAACGGGCGCUAAUACCGCAUACGUCCUGAGGGAGAAAGUGGGGGAUCUUCGGACCUCACGCUAUCAGAUGAGCCUAGGUCGGAUUAGCUAGUUGGUGGGGUAAAGGCCUACCAAGGCGACGAUCCGUAACUGGUCUGAGAGGAUGAUCAGUCACACUGGAACUGAGACACGGUCCAGACUCCUACGGGAGGCAGCAGUGGGGAAUAUUGGACGAUGGGCGAAAGCCUGAUCCAGCCAUGCCGCGUGUGUGAAGAAGGUCUUCGGAUGGUAAAGCACUUUAAGUUGGGAGGAAGGGCGGUAAGUUAAUACCUUGCUGUUUUGACGUUACCAACAGAAUAAGCACCGGCUAACUUCGUG